GGUUUCUUGUUUAUAUGGGAAAUUUGGCCUGCCCACUGAAUUUAUUUUUAAGGGCCGCAGUAUUUUGACUGUGCAAAGGUAGCAUAAUCAUUAGUCUUUUAAUUGAAGGCUGGAAUGAAUGGUUGGACGAAAUAAAAUCUGUUUCAUUAAAAAUUUUUUGAAUUUGGGUUUUAAGUAAAAAUUCUUAGAUGUUAUUAAGGGACGAGAAGACCCUAUAGAGUUUAAUGUAUUGAUUUUAAAUUAGGUUUUUAAUUAAUUUAUAAUUUUUUAUUUAAUGUAUUUGAUUGGGGUGAUUGGAAGAUAUUUUUAACUCUUUUUAUAUUUUAAUAAAUAUUUUUAGUUUAUUGAUCCAUAAUUUUUAUGAUUAUAAGAUUAAAUUACCUUAGGGAUAACAGCAUAAUUUUUUUUGAGAGUUCUUAUUGAGAGAAAAGAUUGUGACCUCGAUGUUGGAUUAAGAUAAAUAAUAGGAGCAGGUUCUUGUUAAUUAGGUCUGUUCGACCUUUAAAAUCUUACA
RNAcentral lists this ribosomal RNA (514 nucleotides) under Ligaria brevicollis ignota. RNAcentral's name for it is "partial 16S ribosomal RNA". The stretch from base 388 to 514 matches the Rfam family "Bacterial large subunit ribosomal RNA", at positions 2473 to 2600 of the family's 2925-position model. Lineage: Eukaryota; Metazoa; Arthropoda; Insecta; Mantodea; Chroicopteridae. The record is from RNAcentral.